UGUAAUGGUUAGUUGCACUGAUUAACACCAACUCGUGUACCUAAAACAAAAAAAUACCCUCGGAAAUAACUAGUUACCGUCUAGAGAACGUCGUAGUAGUAGACCAUUGUAUUGCAAACAAUUUUAGAUUGUAAGAUUAACGUAAACUCAAUUACACUAAUGUAUAAACUUAUAGAUUAGAUACCCGACUGUCAACAGAGCUUAGUAUUCUUUUUCCGAUAAAUCUAUAUACAUAAAAAUGAAUUGAUAUUUUGUAGGUGACGCCAUAGCUUGAAAACGGAUGAAUAGAUUAGGCUGAUUUUAAUUUGUUAUGUUCAUAUGGUUUUUAAAGAAAACUUUUCGAAAGUCUGGCAGAAAGUCGAAAAUUUGAAUGGUACUUUUGUAUAAAAAUCACAACACACCAAGAUAACCCGUAAAUCAACAAAAAUAACUCGAUAAUAUUUGAUACUCGGUUCUGCUGUCACGUGUUUCCAUAAAAGCUAAUCGAUAAU
Molecule: non-coding RNA, 491 nt
Organism: Cinara cedri
Lineage: Eukaryota; Metazoa; Arthropoda; Insecta; Hemiptera; Aphididae
Source: the annotation of a GenBank genome assembly